GGAUUAGAUACCCUGGUAGUCCACGCUGUAAACGAUGUCGACUAGCCGUUGGGCUCAUUUAAGGGUUUAGUGGCGCAGCUAACGCGAUAAGUCGACCGCCUGGGGAGUACGGCCGCAAGGUUAAAACUCAAAUGAAUUGACGGGGGCCCGCACAAGCGGUGGAGCAUGUGGUUUAAUUCGAAGCAACGCGAAGAACCUUACCAGGUCUUGACAUUGACAGAAUCCUGUAGAGAUACGGGAGUGCUUCGGCCUGGAAAACAGGUGCUGCAUGGCUGUCGUCAGCUCGUGUCG
Molecule: ribosomal RNA, 291 nt
Filed under: uncultured bacterium
Lineage: Bacteria
Description: partial 16S ribosomal RNA
Rfam family: Bacterial small subunit ribosomal RNA
Source: RNAcentral